This 506-nucleotide ribosomal RNA is filed under the name uncultured bacterium. RNAcentral's name for it is "partial 16S ribosomal RNA". It matches the Rfam family "Bacterial small subunit ribosomal RNA", at positions 29 to 523 of the family's 1533-position model. The record is from RNAcentral.
AUUGAACGCUGGCGGCAGGCCUAACACAUGCAAGCCGGACGGUAGCACAGAGGAGCUUGCUCCUCGGGUGACGAGUGGCGGACGGGUGAGUAAUGUCUGGGGAUCUGCCCGAUAGAGGGGGAUAACCACUGGAAACGGUGGCUAAUACCGCAUAACGUCGCAAGACCAAAGAGGGGGACCUUCGGGCCUCUCACUAUCGGAUGAACCCGGAUGGGAUUAGCUAGUAGGCGGGGUAACGGCCCACCUAGGCGACGAUCCCUAGCUGGUCUGAGAGGAUGACCAGACACACUGGAACUGAGACACGGUCCAGACUCCUACGGGAGGCAGCAGUGGGGAAUAUUGCACAAUGGGCGCAAGCCUGAUGCAGCCAUGCCGCGUGUAUGAAGAAGGCCUUCGUGUUGUAAAGUACUUUCAGCGGGGAGGAAGGCGAUGUGGUUAAUAACCGCAUUGAUUGACGUUACCCGCAGAAGAAGCACCGGCUAACUCCGUGACAGCCGCCGCCGUAA